CUCCGGUGCAGUGUCCGGCAGGGCAGGGCAGGGUAGAGUUAUCGGGGGCCGUGCCGCUCGUUAGGGUGGGGUUUGACUGCGGGAGGCCGCGUACUAGGCGGGCGGGGCGGAGGAGGAGGUGGCGCGGGGGAAGGAGGAGGCUUGGGGCGGUGGCGGAGCGUGGGGCGGCGAGCGGCGGGCGGCUCGGGAUUGGGGCUGAGAAGCCUCGAAGCGCAGGGCGGCGGAGCGCGGCGAGACGGACGACUACCUAGGCCGGUGCGGGAUGAGGCUACGGCUGCGGAUGCGGAUGCGGCUCAAGUUGCCCCUCUGACCGCACCUGCUGGGCCUCAAGCGCCUGCGGCUCCGCCUUCGCCCCCCUCUCCUGCGACCACUACUCUACGGGUCCCUUGACGGGCUCCUCGAGCGGUCUCCCCACCACACGGAGCUCACGGUGUGAAGCCGGCUCCGGCACCGCCGGCCCCUUCCGCUCUGGACGGCGCAGAUGCAGCAGCCGUGGCGGGUACAGAGCGUCCUUAGUACACUAGUUCAGUUUCGGCAGUAGUUGAAAGACUUCGGAGUCCGACAAAAGAACCUUGACACAAGGUCGUCCCAAAGAUAAGACUGUGGUGUUUUGGAAGUCCAAGGAUGGUACUUACUUUACUAACUGUACACCUUCUUCUUUUUCUACUUGUGGAAACCCUAAGAGAUAUCGACCAAAGAACGUUUCCAACGAUCGGUCGAACUACAUAAUGGACCUCGACUUAAAGCUCACCGUAAACUCCUUCGUUACUGCAUACCACCGUUUCAAUAGGAACCUCUAGCGGGACAGGUCUAGUGAGACUCCUCUUGAACCCCCUUUUACAGUAACACCGUGUCUCGAUUUAAAGACAUGAUGUAACAAAAGGUCAGGAAUAAAAAUGGCUCGGGACUUCUAGAAUUAUUUUACAAUUUCCUGUACCUACUACAACUGUACGAUUGUGAACAGUAAGUUCUCUACUCGUUCCGUAAAGGAUCAGACUACCUCUGUGAAGAGGUACUUGCACUAUACAUAUACAGAAGGUUUAAUAACUUCCAUCGUUCCCUUGUAAGAAGUCACCACCGUCAACACCCUUUUCCCGUACAAAGACCCUAUUUCUUUUUAACCGUUGUUGGUUAACUCCAUGUUGCAAACUACCUUAAUGGACACGGAUCCUUUCCACGAAGCUUCAACUUUUAAAACCGCAGGUAACCUCGUCAUUCGCGUCAUCAUCGUAGACCUUAGAUAUAUACCCCAUUUUUUAUUGUUAAUCCACAUUAAAGACCUUAGCUUCAACUUGUUUACUUUCUCGUUAAAGUGACGUGACAUGUGACCUACAGAGAAAGGUUUCGAAAGGAUAAAAUGAUCCCAUUUUGGACAAGUAACGAUGUCUUUUGAGACGGCUUUUGCAAGUUCAACGUGUAAAUCUUAUCCUUUUGCUAAAACCGAACGUUUAACAUCACGUAAACACGACAAAAAAA
RNAcentral lists this ribosomal RNA (1476 nucleotides) under Triticum aestivum (bread wheat). RNAcentral describes it as "partial small subunit ribosomal RNA". Lineage: Eukaryota; Viridiplantae; Streptophyta; Magnoliopsida; Poales; Poaceae. The record is from RNAcentral.